AGUGAACGCUGGCGGUAGGCCUAACACAUGCAAGUCGAACGGCAGCACAGUAAGAGCUUGCUCUUACGGGUGGCGAGUGGCGGACGGGAGAGGAAUACAUCGGAAUCUACUUUUUCGUGGGGGAUAACGUAGGGAAACUUACGCUAAUACCGCAUACGACCUACGGGUGAAAGCAGGGGAUCUUCGGACCUUGCGCGAUUGAAUGAGCCGAUGUCGGAUUAGCUAGUUGGCGGGGUAAAGGCCCACCAAGGCGACGAUCCGUAGCUGGUCUGAGAGGAUGAUCAGCCACACUGGAACUGAGACACGGUCCAGACUCCUACGGGAGGCAGCAGUGGGGAAUAUUGGACAAUGGGCGCAAGCCUGAUCCAGCCAUACCGCGUGGGUGAAGAAGGCCUUCGGGUUGUAAAGCCCUUUUGUUGGGAAAGAAAAGCAGCAGGUUAAUACCCCGCUGUUCUGACGGUACCCAAUGAAUAAGCACCGGCUAACUUCGUG
RNAcentral lists this ribosomal RNA (492 nucleotides) under uncultured bacterium. RNAcentral's name for it is "partial 16S ribosomal RNA". It matches the Rfam family "Bacterial small subunit ribosomal RNA", at positions 29 to 507 of the family's 1533-position model. The record is from RNAcentral.